UGACUUACCUGCUGCACAUCGAAAGACUUCCUUACAGCUGAGAUUUUGAUUUAUUACUAGCUUUAUUGGUAAUUUGUUUAGGUAAAAUGUUACCUACUAAUACAACACAUCAGACAAAAUGGUAUUUUCUGAAUGUUUUGAAUUAGUCUCGUUACCUUUUAAUCUGUAAAUGUUUAGCCGUUAAAUGAAUGGGUAUGGGUCACACCGUAAGCCCCCCCAAAAAGUUGAAUUUACUUUACAAAUGUUAUUACUCACUUAAUAUCUCGAUUAAACAUUUUAUUUUAACUUAGUACAUGAAAUGGAGGUGGAAAAAAUCUGUUUUAAACAAACACCAACCUAUGGAGUGAUCGGGUGGCUAAGUUAGCUUACACGUAACUAGCAGGUAAAAAAUGUCCAUCAAACUGUUUCAAAUAAUAUUUUUCACUGCGCAAACAACGAUUUGGGAAAUAUAUUAGCUUAAUUACCUUAGAAGUGACACUGAAAUAUGAUAUGGCUUACACUUCAGUACCUGGAAAUUAAUGUAUAAGUGUCUGGAUUAAAUAGCAUGUGUGUUUAGUAGCGCUGGUGUUUACAUGCGACGUUGAGAGACAAAGGGGUUUUGAACCAUCAUCUUUGUACCCCGCGAGGGUAAACUGCACUUUACUUAUGCGUGUGCAAGCUUUGUUAUCUUUUCGGGUACGGAGGUUUUCGCUGGCAUCGCUGUAAUUCUUCUGACUGGAGUGUGUUAGGCUUACGUCUGAUCAAAACGGCGGAAAUCUCCGAAAAGUGACGAGGAUGCAGCACAGAGCUUUAUAUUUAUAAGAUAAAAUCCACUUCGUUUAACUAUAUGAGAGUUUGAAUGGGCCUCUGUGCACAAGGAUGUGGAACUUAAUAACAAAAAAACAGAGAUCUAGAUCAGUGGCUUUCAGGUUAAAAUGUGGUAGCUAGUAAUAAUAGCUAUAAAGUCAGUCUUUGAUGGUAAAUAUUGUCUAAGUACGUUUUGAUCAGAUGUGGAGUUUAAUUUAAGCCAGUCUGAUGGUAAAAGCACUGCCGUUCUUCAGUCUGUGGUACAAACACCUUCUUCAUACUGUAACGCUCUCGGUUUAUAAACCAAGAGCAAUCAGCAAUCAGAUAUAUGAAAUGUAGCACUCACUGCAGAGGGUUUUCUCUGAUUGAGCUUGUGUGUAUUAGUUGCAUAACUAGUGCUUAUUGAAUGCAUAAGUAUGUGUAAAUAUCUGAUAAAUAUCAGGAAAAAAUUGGUCUUUGAUAUCUUUGGGGGUUUUUUUUGCACCAAAUUAAAAAUCCUAAGAGUGAAGUUCAUGGAGAUUGCUUACGAAUGGGCAAAAAUCUAGGGUUUAUAUCUAAAUUUAAUUUAUGAGAGUUUAUGCAAAUCAGAAGAUACCAGAGAAGUACCAGGCAAGCAGGUUUACUAUUUACAUAUUUUUCUGCAUAUACUGCAGAUGUAUACAGUAUGUAGCUGGUGUAUAAUGUCUGCAUAAAUAUCUGGUGUUUAUUAUCUACAUGUAUUUUGUUUAUUCUGUGCAGGUGGUAGCAAAGAAAUAUAUUGUAUGUAGCUGGAGUAUAAUAUGCAUGUCUGUAAAUAUCUGGUGUUUAAUAAUUACAUGUUUUCCUAUCUGUCUAAACUGCAAAUAGCAACAGAAAAGCUUAUCGUAAAUAGCUGGCGGUUCAUGGGCAGGUAUCACUAAGCAUCUGGUGUUUCUAGAGCUGGGCGAUAUGUCCUAUAAAUUGAAACUCCGAUUUUUUUUAAACAAAAUUCGAUUUUUGAUUUUAAAACGAUUAUUUUUCUUUAAAAAAAUUAAUAAAACACUAGAGACUACGCUACCAGUCAAAAGUUUGGACACACCUUUUAAUUCAGUGUUUUUUGUUUAGGGAUUUAUUUUCUACAUUCUAGAACAAUAGUGGAGAUUUCAAAACUAUGAAAUAACACACAUGGGCUUAAGUAAUCCAUAUGUAACGACAACAAAAAACAGUCAGUUGUUAUUUUAAGACACGAAGGUCAGGUGUUCUGGAAUAGUUCUUGCAAGAACAGUAUUGUCAAGUGCAUUUGCAAAACUGAUCAAGCACCAUGAUGAAACUGGCUCACAUGAAGACCAUUCCAGUAAAGCAAGACCAAAACUGACCUCUGCUGCAGAGGAGAAGUUCAUUUAGAGUUACCAGCCUCAGAAAUCACCAAUUAACAGCACCUCAGAUUAGAGGCGUCAUGAAGGCUUUACAGAGCGUCGGUAGCAGACGUAUCUGAAUAUCAACUGUUCAAAGUACAUUAUUGUGUAUUUCGGCCGCCUUCAGCAUUGUUUUACAAUGUAGAAAGAAAUAAACAUCAGAAAAGACCAUGGAAUUAGAAGGUGUGUCCAAACUUUUGACUGGUACUGUAUAUGAUAGAUUUUUUUUUAAUUUGAGCAAAAACAAUAUAACCACACAUAUGAACUGCAAACUUACUUUCGCUAACAAGUUUUUUUUUUGUUAUUUUAGAAAAUCAAUAAUCAACAUAAAAACCUUUUUUUUGGGAUUAAUAAAGUGCAAACUUUCACCAGUCUUUACAAGUUCUAAUUAUUCUAGCAAACUAAAGUAAUAUAACAAAAUAUGAGGUAUUUUUGAAGUGCAAACUAUAGACUUAACUUAUAUCACUUUUUAUAAAAUAAAUAGUUGUCACCUGAAAAAAAAAUCCCUAAAAAAACAGCAGUUCAACAUGCAACUUACAUGAUCAAUAAAAUCAAACAGGAGCCAGACAUCAUAUGGGCACAAUCAGGGGCGAGUCUAGGAUUUUCAUUUAAGGGGGACUCAGCCCCCAAUGAGGGUAUAAUAGUAAAACAUAUAUAUAAAUAAAUAAAAGGUUUCACUAACAGGGUAGGAUGGUAAACUUAUUGCAGCAUUCCACUGUAUUGCAUAGAUGUAUAUAACAUUUGAGUACUGAACAAGCCAAAUACGAGUCUUCCUGAUCACAUACACACACACACACACAAGCAGGCGCACACACACACACACACACACACUUGUCCUCUGAUCCUCGCUCUGUGGCGCCGUGGUCUGCGGAUUGAAGAACACGCUGAAAGACGGGGCCAUGUCGCUAGGCCAUUUUUAACAUUUCUACUCAGCCCUCCUAAAAUUCUGUGAUUCUCCAUAAACUGUACACAAAUUCAUGAUCGUCUCAGUCCUCUUUAAAUUUCAUAUGAAAACGGCGGAGACUUUUCAUAUGAAAUUUAACUUCGGCUCCUCCCCGUCUUUCAGCGCGUUCUUCAAUCUGUCUGAUGAAAUCGUGCCUCCCUUGGAAACAAGCUCUUUGCGUCGCAGAAUUAUGGAAGCUUGCUCUGCCAAACCAAGUUGAAAUUAUAUAAUCGAUUUUCGUUUUUCAACGUUGACAUAAACCAUAAAUUCGAAGCUCUAGGUGUUUCAUAUCUGUAUGUAUUGGUUUGUAAACCUUGUUUACACCUGUUGUUUAUUCGGUGGGUAUUGGUCAGUGUUGGUCAGUGUUUGGUGUUUUGUGGGUGAGUUCGAGUAAAUAUCUCUCCUCAGGCAAUAAAAUAUGAUAAAAAAAUGGUAAAAUAUAUGAUAUGUAUCUGAUGUAUAAUAUGCAUGUCUGGGUAAAUAUCUGGUGUUUACUAUUUACAUGUUAUUCUAUCUGUGUAAACUGCAGACGUAGGCAGGGAAGUUUAUGGUAAGUAUCUGGUGUUUAUUGGGCCGAUAUGGUUAAAUAUCUGCUGGUUAAUAUUUGUGUAUGUUUGAAAUGCACCUCAGAUUAGUAACAAGGAGGCAUGUAGUAAGUGUCUGCUGAUAUUGGACAUUGUCUUGUGUUUUAUGGGUGAGGGUGAUGAAUAUCUUCAUUUGUUUCUUUGAAAACCAAACGUCCCAGCAGGGAAGUGUGUGGUAAGUAGCUGUUGUUUAUUGUUUGGGAAUGAGGAAGUAUCUGUUGUUUAAUAUCUUAAUGUGCAAGUAAUGGGUAAGUAUGAGUAAAUAUCUGGUGUUUUAUUAUCUACAUGUCUUUGUUUUCGACAGCUGGAAUCAAAGAAAUAUAUGCUAUGUAGUUGAUGUUUGAUAGGCAUGUCUGGGUAAAUGUCUGAGACAUGUAAUUUUGUGUUUUGUGGGUGACUGUGAAUGGUUUGCCUUGAUCUGUUAUUUAUUGGCUAGGUAUUGGACAAUGUCUGGUGUUUUGCGGAUGAGUGUGAGUAACUAUCUUCUCUGUCCAUAGCUGACACUCGACCACACCCCCACUGCCACAGUAUUAUAAUGUGUCCCCUUUUCAGUGGGUGAGUAUGGUAAAUAUCUGAUCUUUAAUAUCUUAACUUGUUUCCCUGUUAACCUAAGGUCCUAGUGGGGAAGUGUGUGGUAAGUAGCUGAUGUUUAUUGGUUGUAAAUGCGGAAUUAUCUUAAUGUGUAUGUAAUGGGUAGGUAUGAGUCAUUACUUGGUGUUUAUUAAGUACAUGUAUUUGUUUAUUGCUACACAAGCCAGGAGAUAAACGGUAUGUAGCUGGUGUUUAAUAUGCAUGUCUGUGUAAAUAUCUGGUGUUUACUAUUCUUACGUACUUGUGUGUACCCCACAGACGGUAUCAAGGAAAUAUAUGGUAUGUAGCUGGUUAAUAAUAUGCAUGUCUUGGUAAAUAUGUGGUGUUAUUAUUUACAUGUUUAUCUAUCUGCUUAAACUGGAGAUAGUAGCCAGAAAGGUUAUGUUAAUUAGCUCAGUUAGAACGGAAAACGUCCGCAAACCGGUAGACCAACUCCGUCAAGUACUCGUUCUGGGAUGGAGUGAGAUCAGCCCUUUUCUGCACAAAGGUACUCCCUUCCUCAUCUAACACCCACAGGAGCAUCCUCUUCAGUUGAACCUUUCACGUCUAGAAGGCCCCUUGGUUACUGUCCGAAGAGGAGACUGAGUGGCGAUUGCCCGGUGGAUGCUUGGGUAGUCUCCCGGAUGGCGAAGAGCAGACAGGGUAAGUGUAGGUCUGAGUUCUUCCCUGCAUUGUCUAACACCAACAAAAGCAUUGUCUUCAGCAUUCAGUUGAACCCGUCACGUCUAGAAGGCACCUUGGUUACUGUCCAAAGAGGAGUUUUAGUAUUGAUUGCCUGGAGGAUGCUUGGGUAGUGUUCCAGAUGGCCAAGUGCACAUAGGGUAAGAGUAGGUCUGAAUUGCUCCCUUCCUCGUCUAACACCCACAGGAGCAUCUUCUUCAGUGUUUGGUUGAACCUGUCAACAAAUCCAUUGAUCUCGGCAUGGUUGGCGUCAUCUGGUGUUUAACCUGCAACAUCCGACAGAUCAACCCUGGGCUUAGAUGUGAAUGGUUUGCCUUGAUCUGUUAUUUAUUGGCUAGGUGUUUUGCGGAUGAGUGUGAGUAACUAUCUUCUGUCUCCAUAGCUGACACUUGACCACACCCCCACUGCCACAGUAUUGUAAUGUGUCCCCUUUUCAGUGCGUGAGUGUGGUAAAUAUCUAAUCUUUAAUAUCUUAACUUGUUUCCCUGUUAACCUAAAGUCCUAGUAGGGAAGUGUGUGGUAAGUAGCUGAUGUUUAAUAUGCAUGUCUGUGUAAAUAUCUGGUGUUUACUAUUCUUACAUACUUGUGUGUACCCCACAGGCGGUAUCAAGGAAAUAUAUGGUAUGUAGCUGGUUAAUAAUAUGUAUGUCUUGGUAAAUAUCUGGUGUUCAUUAUUUACAUGUUUUCCUAUCUGCUUAAACUGGAUAUAUUAGCAUGAAAGGUUAUGUUAAUUAGCUGUGUUGGAAGGGAAGACGUCCACAAACCGAUACACCAACUCUGUCAAGUACUCGUUCUGGGAUGGAGUGAGAUCAGCCCCUUUCUGCUCCAAGGUAUGCUCCUUGAGAUCUGUGGAGCAAGCAAAAUCAGACGAAGCACGCGCAGACUCUGUCCGUCUUUUCAGGAUGCUGACGUGGUACAACUGUGUCUUUGUUUGCUUAUCUGGCUGUUGCAGAUGGUAGUUCAUGGCUCCCACCCAUUCAGCUAUCAUGUAGGGGCCCUGUCAGCGGUCGAGGAAAUUGCAGGUAGCAUCAGGUAGGAGGAGGUUCAGCCGAUCGCCUGGCUUCGGCCACAUGGACUUAAUGUAUGUGCAACAAUAAAUGAUGUUAAUGUUCAAUUUUUAUUGGAUACCGGAGUUAACUGUCAUAACUACAUCACUGGCUAACAAAAUCAAACUUUCUGUGACUCCAGAGCACAUCACCGCAAAUGGGACAGGGGUGGGAGAUAUAAUUUUGGGAAGAUCUGAACCCAUUAUAAUGUGCAUUGGACCUCAUGAAAUGAAAACGAGUUUGGCUUGGAGAAAUUACACAACCUUUCCUGGGGCUUUACACAUUGCUGAAAUUUAACUCAUCACUAACCUUUGAGGAUGGCACGGUCACAUGGAAUUUGAGGAGGCUUGUAAAAACUGACCUUCAACAACACUGUAUUUGGUCCGAAGAUAAAGAUGAUUGUGGAUUGCUGCAAAUAACUCCCGUAUCAUUCACUGGGAAACCACCACCGUGUACCAAACAAUACCCUAUCAGCAAUGAAUCUAUCCAGGGCAUACUUUUCAUUGUUCAACAGCUAGAAAAGUGAGGCAUUCUAACAAAAACUCAGAGUGCAUCUAACAGUCCAAUCUUGCCUGUAAGAAAAGCUAAUGGUACAUGGUGACUGACAAUGGAUUACAGAGAAGCCAACAAGCGUGUACAUAAAUCGACACCUUUAGUAGCUAAUCCUGCAACCAUUUUUAACACUCUGAAACCAGUACAUGAGUGGUUUACUGUGCUAGAUAUGGCAAACGGCUGAAUCUCAACCUUGGCUUGCUUUUACUGUUGCAGGGCAACAAUAUCAGUGGAAAUGUCUCCCACAAGGUUUUCACAACAGUCCUACUGUCUACCAUCAAGCUCUCAGAACACAUUUAACGUCUCCAGACAUGCCAGUUGUGACCUCAGAGAUCAUACGGUAUGUGGAUGAUGUAUUAUUUGCCUCAAAAACUGCACAUGAACAUGAGAAAGAUGUCAGAGAAAGGCCACAAUGCAAGCUUAGAAAAAACUCCAAAUCAUACAAAGAGAAGUGAUAUAUCUAGGACAGAAGAUAUCCAAAGGCGAAAGAACAAUGACUCCUACCAAGGAAACCCCUCAACCCACAACUGUCCAAGACCUAAGAAGGAUUUUAGGACUCAUACUCAUACACUGAAAUUGUUCAACAUCUUCAUGAUUUGCUAAAAGGAAACCCACAUUCCAAGGAAAACAUUGUUUUUGAUGAAGAAGCCUGUGAAGCGUUUCAGAGACUGAAAAAGGCUUUGAGUGAAGCAACUGCCAUAGGGAUACCUGAUACAGGAAAACCUUUCACAAUGUUUGUGAAUGAGAAAGAUGGGUACAUGACAGCUAUACUGACACAAGAACACGGAGGUGAGCAGAGGCCAGUGGGUUAUUACUCCGCAAAGUUGGAUAAUGUGGUCAUGGAUGGAAAAUGGAGCAAAACUACAUGAUGAUAAUAUUUGGUGAUAUCGCACAUGAACUGUUGCUUCUGAAUGUCUUCUGCCCUAUCUGGCUACAGAGAUUCACUCACUAGGCCAGAUAGGUAAUGACAAAAUGAUCUACGGGUUCAAUCAGGUAUGGUGGAAUCCCAAGCUCCGCACACAAGCAUGGCAUGUGACUAGAAACUGUUUCACAAGCGUCAGGACAAACAGAGAGGAUAAACAGGUCAUAAAAGAAUGGUUAUCAAAACAUCACCAGGAAGGAAUGUUCUGGCCUGAGGCCCUACCAACUGUGCUCUGCAGCAUUCGAGCAACCCACAACACGGAAACUGGACUAAGCCCUUUUGAGAUCAUCACCGGCCAUCCCAUGUCUCUACCUGGGACCAUUGAUUUAAGAAAAGCUGAUGUGCACUUGACAUCUGACAGCCUCGUCCAAUACUGUGAAAGACUCAGCCAUGCAGUACAGAGUGUCGAGAAGCAAGUUCAUGAUGCAUGGGAGCCACCCCCAGAAGGGGGUCACAGUAUAGUCCCUGGACAAUGGGUAAUGAUUCAUAAACCUCAGUGAUUACCAUUGGAGGCCAGGUGGGAUGGUCCAUUUCAAGUUCUUUUAGUCACUAAUGCAGCAGUUAAAGUAUGUGGAAAGAAUAAGUGGAUUCAUGUGAGCCAUUGCAAAUUAGCUAAUCUACAUAGAGAAGAGGGACAGUCGGCAGUAUUCUUUAUCAGAGUCCAGAUAUGGCGGGACUAAAGUCUUUAGGCUUUAGCUUGUUGCCUGAGGAUGAAGAUCACACCAUUACUGAUAAACACUGUAGAGUCCUGCCAAAAUAAGUAGGGACAGUUUUAACAGUAAAAAAAAAAGUAAUGAAUGUAAAAGUAUAGUUAGUGUUAACAGUAUUAACUACCAUAAAUUGCAAAUUUCUCAAGUAGAAACCUGUAUGCAACAAGUGUAUUCUUACGUACUUGUGUGUACCCCACAAGCGGUAUCAAGGAAAUAUAUGUGAUGUAGCUGGUUAAUAAUAUGCAUGUCUUAGUAAAUAUGUGGUGUUUAUUAUUUACACAUUUAUCUAUCUGCUUAAAAAUCUAGCCAUGGAGUCACAGUUCAGUGACUUCUGUGCCAGUCCCAAGACCGGAUAAAUAGAGAGGGUUGUGUCAGGAAGGGCAUCCGGCAUAAAACAUUGCCAAAUUUAACCAUGCGAAUUGUCAGUACUCUGAAUUUAACAAUGAACAACGACCGCCAUCGGCGCCGUUGACCUACAGGGCGCUGGUGGAAAUUGGGCUACUGUUGGACGAAGAAGUAAAGGAGGGAGGAGAGUGUGCAGACAGAGAGAGAAGAGGAUAGGUAAGAGUGUAGGACUGAGAAUAGGAACUCUGAAUGUUGGUACUAUGACAGGGAAAGGUAGAGAGCUGGCUGAUAUGAUGGAGAGAAGGAAGGUGGAUAUACUAUGUGUACAGGAAACCAGGUGGAAGGGUAGCAAGGCUCGUAGUAUAGGAGCAGGAUUCAAGCUGUUUUAUUGUGGUGUGGACAGUAAAAGAAAUGGGGUAGGUGUGGCCCUGAAGGAGGAGGUUGUGAGGAAUGUUCUGGAGGUGAAGAGAGUGUCGGACAGGGUGAUGAGUCUGAAGUUAGAGGUUGAAGGGGUGAUGUUGAAUGUUGUUAGUGGUUAUGCCCCACAGGUAGGUUGUGAGUUAGAGGAGAAAGACAGAUUCUGGAGUGAAUUAGAUGAGGUGAUAGAGACUAUUCCCACAGGUGAGAAAGUGGUGAUAGGAGCAGAUUUUAAUGGACAUGUUGGUGAGGGGAACACAGGUGAUGAGAAGGUGAUGGGCAAGUUUGGAAUUGAGGAAAGGAACCUUGAAGGACAGAUGGUAGUGGACUUUGCUACGAGGAUGGACAUGGCUGUGGUUAACACUUAUUUUCAGAAGAGGGAGGAGCAUAGAGUGACUUACAAGAGUGGAGGUAGGAGCACACAGGUAGACUACAUACUUUGUAGAAGAGGCAAUCUGAAAGAGAUUAGUGACUGUAAAGUGGUAGUGGGAGAGAGUGUAGCCAGACAGCAUAGGAUGGUGGUGUGUAGGAUGACUUUGAUGGUCUGUAAGGAGAGGUUAAAGAUAGAGAUAGACAAGAAAACCACUAGGUUAGACACUAGAGAUGGAGAGAAGGACUUGUACAGGUUAGCUAGGCAGAGGGAUCGAGAUGGGAAGGAUGUGCAGCAAGUUAGAGUUAUUAAGGAUAGAGUUGGAAACAGGCUCACAAGUGAGGAGAGUGUACAGAGGAGAUAGAAGGAGUACUUUGAAGAGCUGAUGAAUGAGGAAAAUGAGAGGGAAAAAAGAGUUGAAGGGGUGAACUCUGUGGAGCAGAAAGUAGAUAAGACUAGAAAGGAUGACGUCAGGAAGGCUUUGAAGAGAAUGAAAGGUGGAAAGGCAGUUGGUCCUGACGACAUCCCGGUGGAGGUCUGGAAGUGUCUAGGAGAGGCAGCAAUUGAAUUCUUAAAUAGUUUGUUUAACAGGGUUUUAGAGAGUGAGAAGAUGCCUGAGGAAUGGAGAAGAAGUGCAUUAGUGCCGAUCUUUAAGAAUAAGGAUGAUGUGCAGAGUUGCAGCAACAAUAGGGGGAUAAAGUUGAUGAGCCAUACAAUGAAGCUAUGGGAAAGAGUAGUGGAAGGUAGUGGAAAUAUUUGAGCAGCAGUAUGGCUUCAUGCCCAGAAAGAGCACAACAGAUGCAAUUUUUGCUCUGAGAAUGUUGAUGGAGAAGUAUAGGGAUGGUCAGAGAGAGUUGCACUGUGUGUUUGUAGACGUGGAGAAAGCAUAUGACAGGGUGCCAAGAGAAGAGCUGUGGUACUGUAUGAGGAAGUCAGGAGUAGCAGAGAAGUAUGUCAGAGUGGUGCAGGACAUGUAUGAGAGGUAAGGCCCGACAGGAGUUCAAAGUGGAGGUGGGACUGCAUCAGGGAUCGGCUCUGAGCCCCUUCUUGUUUGCUAUGGUGAUGGACCAGUUAUCAGAGGAGGUCAGACAGGAGUCUCCUUGGACAAUGAUGUUUGCAGAUGACAUUGUGAUCUGUAGUGAGAGCAGGGGGAGGAAAACCUGGAGAGGUGGAGGUUUGCGCUGGAGAGAAGAGGAAUGAAAAUCAGUCGUAGUAAGACUCAGUGCAUGUGUGUGAAUGACAAGGAGGGAAGUUUAACAGUAAGAUUACAGGGUGAAGAGGUGAAGAAGGUACAGGAGUUUAAGUACUUGGGGUCAACAGUCCAGAGUAAUGGAGAGUGUGGGAAAGAGGUAAAGAAGUGAGUGCAGGCAGGUUGGAAUGGGUGGAGAAAGGUGUCGGGAGUUCUGUGUGGUAGAAAAUUUUCAGCAAGAAUCAAGGGGAAGGUGUACAAGACAGUGGUGAGACCGGCCAUGCUGUAUGAUUUAGAGGCAGUGUCUCUGAGGAAGAGACAGGAGUCAGAGCUGGAGGUAGGAGAGCUGAAGAUGUUGAGGUUCCCUUUGGGAGUGACACGGUUGGACAGGAUUAGGAACGAGUACAUCAGAGGGACAGCUCAUUUUGGACGUUUGGGGGACAGAGUUUGGGAGGCCAGAUCAAGAUGGUUUGGACAUGUCCAGAGGAGGGAGAGUGAGUAUAUUGGUAGGAGAAUGUUGGACAUGGAGCUGCCAGGAAGGAGGCAAAGGGGAAGGCCAAAGAGGAGGUAUAAGGAUGUAAUAAAUGAGGAUAUGAAGCUAGUGGGUGCAAGUGUUGAGGAUGCAGAAGAUAGGGAUAGGUGGAGAGAGAUGAUUUGCUGUGGUGAUCCCUGAAGGGAAGGGAAAAGCCGAAAGAAGAAGAAGAUCUAUCUACUUAAACUGGAGAUAGUAGCUGGAAAGGUUAUGUUAAUUAGCUGGGUUGGAACGGAAAACGUCUGCAAACCGGUACACCAAGUUUGGCAAGUACUCAUUCUGGGAUGGAGUGAGAUCUCCAUAUCUAUGAGAUAUGUGGAGCAAGCAAAAUCAGACAUAGCAAACUGUGUCUCUGCUUGCUCACCUGGAUUUUGCAGGUGGUAGUUCAUGGCUCCUACCCAUUCAACUAUCAUGUAGGGGCCUUGCCAGCGGUCAAGGAAAUUGCAGGUAGCAUCAGGUAGCAACUGCCGUUCUUGGGUUGGACGGUUGUAGAUUCGUUGUUGGUCUCUUUGAUCUGCGUCCAUAUGUUUGCAGAUGAUAGGAGAUAAUUUAUCCAUCAGCUGAUGCAUCUCCUGAAUAGGAUGCACAACUGAGUGCUAGGGUGAGGGCUGCUCCUCCCAGGCCUCUUGAGCCACGUCUAGAAGGCCCCUUGGUCGCUGUCUGGAGAGGAGUUUGAAUGGUGAUUGCCCAGUGAAAGCUUGAGCAGUCUCCCCGAUAGCGAAGAGAACAUAGGGCAAGAGUAGGUCUGAGUUCCUCCCUUCCUCGUCUAACACCAACAGGAGUAUCCUCUUCAGUGUGUAGUUGAACCUGUCACGUCUAGAAGGCACCUUGGUCACUGUUCUAAGAGGAGUUUGAGUGGUGAUUGCCCGAUGGAUGCUUGGGUAGUUUCCUGGAUGGCGAAGAGCACAUAGGGUAAGAGUAGGUGUGAGUUCCUCCUGUCCUUGUCUAAUGCCCACAGGAAAAUCCUCUUCAGUAUUCAAUUGAACCUUUCACGUCUAGAAGGCCCCAUGGUCGCUGUCUGAAGAGGAGUUUGAGUGGUGAUUGCCUGAUGGAUGCUUGGGUAGUCUCCCGGAUAGCGAAGAGAACAUAAGGUAAGAGUAGGUCUGAGGUCCCCCCUUCCUUGUCUAACACCCACAGGAGAAUCCUCUUCAGUAUUCAGUUGAACCUUUCACUUCUAGAAGGCCCCGUGGUCACUGUCCAAAGAGGAGUUUGAGUGGUGAUUGCCCGGAGGAUGCUUGGGUAGUGUUCCGGAUGAUGAAGAGCACAUGCCGUAAGUGUAGGUCUGAGUUCCUCCCGUCCUUGUCUAAUGCCCACAGGAGCAUCUUUUUCAGUAUUCGGUUGAACCUUUCAACAAAUGCAUUGAUCUCGGCAUGGUUGGCGUCAUCUGGUGUUUAACCUGCAACAUCCGACACAGAUCAACCCUGGGCUUAGAUGUGAAUGGUUUGCCUUGAUCUGUUAUUUGUUGGCUAGGUAUUGGUCAAUGUAUGGUGUUUUGCAGAUGAGUGUGAGUAACUAUCUUCUCUCUCCAUAGCUGACACUCGACCACACCCCCACUGCCACAGUAUUGUAAUGUGUCCCCUUUUCAGUGCAUGAGUGUGGUAAAUAUCUGAUCUUUAAUAUCUUAACUUGUUUCCCUGUUAACCUAAAGUCCUAGUAGGGAAGUGUGUGGUAAGUAGCUGAUGUUUAAUAUGCAUGUCUGUGUAAAUAUCUGGUGUUUACUAUUCUUACAUACUUGUGUGUACCCCACAGGCGGUAUCAAGGAAAUAUAUGGUAUGUAGCUGGUUAAUAAUAUGUAUGUCUUGGUAAAUAUCUGUUGUUCAUUAUUUACGUUUUUCUAUCUGCUUAAACUGCAUAUAUUAGCAUGAAAGGUUAUGUUAAUUAGCUGUGUUGGAAGGGAAGACGUCCACAAACCGAUACACCAACUCCGUCAAGUAUGCUCCUUGAGAUCUGUGGAGCAAGCAAAAUCAGACGAAGCACGCGCAGACUCUGUCCGUCUUUUCAGGAUGCUGACGUGGUACAACUGUGUCUUUGUUUGCUCAUCUGGCUGUUGCAGAUGGUAGUUCAUGGCUCCCACCCAUUCAGCUAUCAUGUAGGGGCCCUGCCAGCGGUCAAGGAAAUUGCAGGUAGCAUCAGGUAGGAGGAGGUUCAGCCGAUCGCCUGGCUGAAACUCCCAUGCUUGUGUUGGACGGUUGUAGAUUCUUUGUUGGUCUCUUUGAACUGUGUCCAUGUUUGCAGAUGAUAGGAGUUACUUCAUCCAUCAGCUCUUGCAUCUCCUGAAGAUGAUGCACAACUGAUUGUUCGGGUGAGGGCUGCUCCUCCCUGGCCUCUCGAGCCACGUCUAGAAGGCCCCUUGGUCACUGUCUGAAAAGGAGUUUGAAUGGUGAUUGCCCGGUGAAUGUUUGAGUAGUCUUCUGGAUGGCCAAGAGCACAUAGGGUAAGAGUAGUUCUGAGUUCCUCCCUUCCUCAUCUAACACCCACAGGAGAAUCCUCUUCAGUGUUUGGUUGAACCUUUCAUGUCUAGAAGGCCCUGUGGUCGCUGUAUGAAGAGGUGUUUGAAUAGUGAUUGCCCAGUGAAAGCUUGAGUAGUCUCCCCGAUAGUGAAGAGUACAUAGGGUAAGAGUAGAUCUGAGUUCCUCCCUUCCUCCUCUAACACCAACAGGAGCAUCCUCUUCAGUAUUCCUUUGAACCUUUCACGUCUAGAAGGCCCCGUGCUCACUGUCCAUAGAGGAGUUUGAGUAGUGAUUUCCCGGAGGAUGCUUGGGUAGUGUUCCGGAUAGGGAAGAGCAUAUAGGGUAAGAGUAGGUCUGAGUUCCUCCCUGCCUUAUCUUACACCCACAGGAGCAUCCUCUUCAGCAUUCAGUUCAGUUGUACACUACACAUCUAGAAGUCACCCUGGUCACUGUCCUAAGAGGAGUUUGAGUGGUGGUUGCCUGGAGGAUGUUUAGGUAGUGUUCCAGAUGGCCAAGAGCACAUAAGGUAAGAGUAGUUCUGAGUUCCUCUCUUCCUCAUCUAACACCCACAGGAGAAUCCUCUUCAGUAUUCAGUUGAACCUUUCAUGUCUAGAAGGCCCCGUGGUCGCUGUCGAAAGAGGAGUGUUACGACUUCAAGAUGGUAGGUCUAAGGGUACCAGAAGUAACAUUCAAGUUGUGACUCAUUUAAGUGGGGGUUGGUAGUAAUUGACAAGAGAACAACUUUAUAGCAAAAAUAAAAUAUAGUAUUUAUUGUCCACAACGGAAUUGGAAUAGAAGAAAUAUAGAUAGAUAUAUAUAUAUUUACAUACAACUGAGAGUUAUAUUAUAAUCAACACAGGAAAAGAGAGGAUUAACAGCGGCGCCAAAUAAAAGAAAGAAAUAUAACAAAACCAAACUAACUUGCCGCAAUCCUCUAAUCUAUCUAGAAAAUAAAAGGAAAAGAAAGUCUUCGGCAUUUUCAUGCCCUAUCUAAACUAUUCUCACUAACCAGAAACAAAACAUACAGAGAGUGGCGCUCGCUCCUAUCCUAGUGUAUCUAUACACAGCCACUUCUCUACGUGUAGCACAAUGAAUCUCAGGUAACUAAACUGUCCUCUUUUCCCGGGGGUAGAUCAAAGCAAAGUAGAGAAUAGGCAAGGGAGAGAGCAAAAGCAAGAGACCGAGCGUCCACACAGGCGUCCCUUUUAAAACUGACGCGGAUCUCAGGGAUUGGCGAAGGCGGCGACGUCACGCAGGUUAACGAGGAUAGACGUCAGCGAAGGUGGCGAUGUCACGCAGGUUAACGAGGAUAGACGUCAGCGAAGGUGGCGACGUCACGCAGGUUAACGAGGAUAGACGUCAGCGAAGGCGGUGACGUCACGCAGGUUAACGAGGAUAGACGUCUCCCCUGACGAAUGGGAUUCCAGGGGGUGGGGAACCUACGAGGCAGUGAGAGUGGGAAGAGAUAGUAAGAGAGCAAAAAAAAAAACACAGGCACAACUUUGGGCCGUAACAAGGAAGUUGAGAAGUGAUUGCCCGGAGGAUGCUUGGGUAGUGUUCCAGAUAGCGAAGAGCACAUAGGGUCUGAGUAGGUCUGAGUUCCUCCCUUCCUUGUCUAACACUCACAGGAGCAUCUUUUUCAGCAUUCAGUUGAACCUUUCAAAUGUAGAAGACCCCUUGAUCGCUGUCCGAAGAGGAGUUUGACUGGUGAUUUCCUGAAUUAUGCUUGGGUAGUGUUCCGGAUGAUGAAGAGCACAUGCCGUAAGUGCAGGUCUGAGUUCCUCCAGUCCUUGUCUAAUGCCCACAGGAGCAUCCUCUUCAGCGUUCGGUUGAACCUUUCAUGUCUAGAAGGCCCCUUGGUUACUGUCCGAAGAGGAGUUUGAGUAGUGAUUGACUGGAGGAUGCUUGGGUAGUGGUCCAGAUGGCCAAGUGCACAUAGGGUAAGAGUAGGUCUGAAUUGCUCACUUCCUUGUCUAACACCCACAGGAGCAUCUUCUUCAGUAUUCGGUUGAACCUUUCAACCAAUCCAUUGAUCUCGGCAUGGUUCACUUCAUCUGGUGUUUAACCUGCAACAUCCGACACAGAUCAACCCUUGGCUUAAAUGUGAAUGGUUUGCCUUGAUCUGUUAUUUGUUGGCUAGGUAUUGGACAAUGUCUGGUGUUUUGCGGAUGAGUGUGAGUAACUAUCUUCUCUCUCCAUAGCUGACACUCGACCACACCCCCACUGCCACAGUAUUGUAAUGUGUCCCCUUUUCAGUGGGAGAGUAUGUUAAAUAUCUGAUCUUUAAUAUCUUAAUUUGUUUUCCUGUUAACCUAAAGUCAUAGUAGGGAAGUGUGUGGUAAGUAGCUGAUGUUUAAUAUGCAUGUCUGUGUAAUUAUCUGGUGUUUACUAUUCUUACAUACUUGUGUGUACCCCACAGGCGGUAUCAAGGAAAUAUAUGGUAUGUAGCUGGUUAAUAAUAUGUAUGUCUUGGUAAAUAUCUGGUGUUCAUUAUUUACAUGUUUUCCUAUCUGCUUAACCUGGAUAUAUUAGCAGGAAAGGUUAUGUUAAUUAGCUGUGUUGGAAGAGAAGACGUCCACAAACUGAUACACCAACUCCGUCAAGUACUCAUUCUGGGAUGGAGUGAGAUCAGCCCCUUUCUGCACCAUGGUACGCUCCUUGAGAUCUGCGGAGCAAGCAAAAGGUAGGAGAUUGGAGGUAGGAGCACACAGAUAGAAUACAUUCUUUGUAGAAGAGGCAAUCUGAAAGAGAUUAGUGACUGUAAAGUGGCAGUGGGAGAGAGUGUAUCCAGACAGCAUAGGAUGGUGGUGUGUAGGAUGACUUUGAUGGUCUGUAAGAAGAGGUCAAAGAUAGAGAUAGAAAAGAAAACCAAGUGGUGGAAGCUGAAAAAGGAGAAAUGUUGUGAGGAAUUUAGACAGAAGUUGAGACAGGCUCUGGGUGGUAAGGUAGUGCUGCCAGAUGACUGGGAAACUACAGCAGAAGUAAUCAGGGAGAGAGGAAGAAAGGUGCUGGGUGUGUCACCUGGAAGGAGGAAAGAAGAUAAGGAGACUUGUUGGUGGAAUGAGGAAGUUCAGGAUAGUAUUCAGAGGAAGAGGUUAGCCAAGAAGAAGUGGGACAUGGACAGGACUGAAGAGAAUAGACAGGAAUACAAGGAGUUACAGCGCAGAGUGUAGAGGGUGGUGUCUAAGGCCAAGCAGAAGGCGUAUGACAAGUUGUACACUAGGUUAGACACUAGAGACAGAGAGAAGGACUUGUACAGGUUAGCUAGGCAGAGGGAUCGAGAUGGGAAGGAUGUGCAGCAAGUUAGAGUUAUUAAGGAUAGAGUUGGAAACAUGCUCACAAGUGAGGAGAGUGUACGGAGGAGAUGGAAGGAGUACUUUGAAGAGCUGAUGAAUGAGGAAAAUGAGAGGGAAAAAACAGUUGAAGGGGUGAACUGUCAGGAGUUCUGUGUGGUAGAAAAUUUUCAGCAAGAAUCAAGGGGAAGGUGUACAAGACAGUGGUGAGACCAGCCAUGCUGUAUGAUUUAGAGGCAGUGUCUCUGAGGAAGAGACAGGAGUCAGAGCUGGAGGUAGGAGAGCUGAAGAUGUUGAGGUUCCCUUUGGGAGUGACACGGUUGGACAGGAUUAGGAACGAGUACAUCAGAGGGACAGCUCAUUUUGGACGUUUGGGGGACAGAGUUUGGGAGGCCAGAUUAAGAUGGUUUGGACAUGUUCAGAGGAGGGAGAGUGAGUAUAUUUGUAGGAGAAUGUUGAACAUGGAGCUGCCAGGAAGGAGGCAAAGUGGAAGGCCAAAGAGGAGGUACAUGGAUGUAAUAAAUGAGGAUAUGAAGCUAGUGGGUGCAAGUGUUGAGGAUGCAGAAGAUAGGGAUAGGUGGAGAGAGAUGAUUUGCUGUGGUGAUCCCUGAAGGGAAAAGCCAAAAGAAGACGACGAUCUAUCUGCUUAAACUGGAGAUAGUAGCUGGAAAGGUUAUUUUAAUUAGCUGGGUUGGAACGGAAAACGUCUGCAAACCGGUACACCAAGUCCGGCAAGUACUCGUUCUGGGAUGGAGUGAGAUCAGCCCCAUUCUGCACCAAGGUACUCUCCAAGAGCUAUGUGGAGCAAGCAAAAUCAGACAUAGCACAUGCAGACUCUGUCCAUCUUUGCAGGAUGCUAACAUGGCACAACUGUGCCUCUGCUUGCUCACCUGGCUUUUGCAGGUGGUAGUUCAUGGCUCCCAUCCAUUCAACUAUCAUGUAGGGGCCCUGCCAGCGGUCAAGGAAAUUUCAGGUAGCAUCAGGUAGCAACUGCCAUGCUUGUGUUGGACGGUUGUAGAUUCGUUGUUGGUCUCUUUGAUCUGCGUCAAUAUGUUUGCAGAUGAUAGGAGUUAAUUUAUCCGUCAGCUGCUGCAUCUCCUGAACAUGAUGCGCAACUGAGUGCUAGGGUGAGGGCUGCUCCUCCCAGGCCUCUUGAACCACGUCAAGAAGGCCCCUUGGUCGCUGUCUGGAGAGGAGUUUGAAUGGUGAUUGCCCAGUGAAAGCUUGAGCAGUCUCCCCGAUAGCGAAGAGAACAUAGGGUAAGACUAAGAGGAGUUUGAGUGGUGAUUGCCUGAUGGAUGCUUGGGUAGUUUCCCGGAUGGCGAAGAGCACAUAGGGUAAGAGUAGGUGUGAGUUCCUCCCUUCCUUGUCUAACGCCCACAGGAAAAUCCUCUUCAGUAUUCAGUUGAACCUUUCACUUCUAGAAGGCCCCGUGGUCACUGUCCAAAGAGGAGUUUGAGUAGUGAUUGCCCGGAGGAUGCUUGGGUAGCGUUCCGGAUGAUGAAGAGCACAUGCCGUAAGUGUAGGUCUGAGUUCCUCCCGUCCUUAUCUAACGCCCACUGCCACAAUAUUGUAAUUUGUCCCCUUUUCAGUGCGUGAGUGUGGUAAAUAUCUGAUCUUUAAUAUCUUAACUUGUUUCCCUGUUAACCUAAAGUCCUAGUAGGGAAGUGUGUGGUAAGUAGCUGAUGUUUAAUAUGCAUGUCUGUGUAAAUAUCUGGUGUUUACUAUUCUUACAUACUUGUGUGUACCCCACAGGCGGUAUCAAGGAAAUAUAUGGUAUGUAGCUGGUUAAUAAUAUGUAUGUCUUGUUAAAUAUCUGGUGUUCAUUAUUUACGUUUUCCUAUCUGCUUAAACUGGAUAUAUUAGCAGGAAAGGUUAUGUUAAUUAGCUGUGUUGGAAGGGAAGACGUCCACAAACCGAUACACCAACUUCAUCAAGUACUCGUUCUGGGAUGGAGUGAGAUCAGCCCCUUUCUGCACCAAGGUACACUCCUUGAGAUCUAUGGAGCAAGCAAAAUCAGACGAAGCACACACAGACUCUGUCCGUCUUUUCAGGAUGCUGACGUGGUACAACUGUGUCUUUGUUUGCUCAUCUGGCUGUUGCAGAUGGUAGUUCAUGGCUCCCACCCAUUCAGCUAUCAUGUAGGGGCCCUGCCAGCGGUCAAGGAAAUUGCAGGUAGCAUCAGGUAGGAGGAGGUUCAGCCGAUCGCCUGGAUGAAACUCCCAUGCUUGUGUUGGAUGGUUGUAGAUUCUUUGUUGGUCUCUUUGAUCUGUGUCCAUGUUUGCAAAUGAUAGGAGUUACUUCAUCCAUCAACUCUUGCAUCUCCUGAGAUGAUGCACAACUGAUUGUUCGGGUGAGGGCUGCUCCUCGAGCCAUGUUUAGAAGGCCCCUUGGUCGCUUUCUGAAAAGGAGUUUGAAUGGUGAUUGCCCGGUGAAUGUUUGAGUAGUCUUCCGGAUGGCCAAGAGCACAUAGGGUAAGAGUAGGUCUGGGUUCCUCCCUUCCUUGUCUAAAACCCACAGGAGCAUCCUCUUCAGUGUUCGGUUGAACCUUUCACGUCUAGAAGGCCCCUUGGUCGCUGUAUGAAGAGGUGUUUGAAUAGUGAUUGCCCAGUGAAAGCUUGAGUAGUCUCCCCAAUAGCGAAGACUACAUAGGGUAAGAGUAGAUCUGAGUUUCUCCCUUCCUUGUCUAAUACCCACAGGAGCAUCCUCUUCAGCAUUCGGUUCAGUUGAACCCUUCACAUCUAGAAGGCACCUUGGUCACUGUCCUAAGUUUUUUUAAGAAUUUUAAAGUUUAAAAUUUUUUUAAGUUUUUUAAAACUUUAAGAAGUUUUAAGAAUUUGAGUGGUGAUUGCCUGAUGGAUGCUUGGGUAGUCUCCCGGAUGGCGAAGAGCACAUAGGGUAAGAGUAGUUGUGAGUUCUUCCCUUCCUUGUCUAACACCCACAGGAGAAUCCUCUUCAGUAUUCAGAUGAAGCUUUCAUGUCUAGAAGGCCCUGUGGUCGCUGUCUGAAGAGGAGUCUGAAUAGUGAUUGCUCAGUGAAAGCUUGAGUAGUCCCCCCUGAUCGCAACGAGCACAUAGGGUAAGAGUAGGUCUGAGUUUCUCCCUUCCUCGUCUAACACCAACAGGAGCAUCCUCUUCAGUAUUCAGUUGAACCUUUCACGUCUAGAAGGCCCCGUGCUCGCUGUCAAUAGAGGAGUUUGAGUAGUGAUUUCCCGGAGGAUGGUUGGGUAGUGUUCCGGAUAGCGAAGAGCAUAUAGGGUAAGAGUAGGUCUGAGUUCCUCCCUGCCUUAUCUUACACCCACAGGAGCAUCCUCUUCAGCAUUCAGUUCAGUUGUACACUACACAUCUAGAAGUCACCUUGGUCACUGUCCGAAGAGGAGUUUGAGUGGUGAUUUCCUGAAUGAUGCUUGGGUAGUGUUCCGGAUGAUGAAGAGCACAUGCCGUAAUUGUAGGUCUGAGUUCCUCCCGUCCUUGUCUAACGCCCACAGGAAAAUCCUCUUCAGUAUUCAGUUGAACCUUUCACAUCUAGAAGGCCCCGUGGUCGCUGUCUGAAGAGGAGUUUGAAUAGUGAUUGCCCAGUGAAAGCUUGAGUAGUCUCCCCGAUCGCGAAGAGCACAUAGGGUAAGAGUAGUCAAGUCAAAGUCAAAGAAGCCUUAUUGUCACUUCAACCAUAUAUAGCUGAUGCAGUACACAGUGAAGUGAAACAACGUUCCUCCUAGACCAGAGGUGCUAUACAUACAAAGAUAAAGUACAGUGACGCAGACAAACAGAGGUAAACAUAAACAUAAAGGCUAAACUAUACUUAAGGUGUAAUAAAAUAACUAAACUAUACUUAAGAUGCAAUAAAUGAACUAGACAUACAACAGAAGCGCACAGGAUGACAAGACAAGACAAGUGCAGAUAAACAACAUAUAGACCGACUUUUGCGCAGAUAGCAGUGUAUACAGUGAGUGCAAAUAAGAAAUUGACAUUUUGUGCAAAGAACAGUGUAUACAGUGAAUGCAAAUAUUAAAGUGACACAUGUAAACAGGAUUAAUAUAAAAAAAUGUAAAGGGAAAUGUAAAGUGACGUGUGUGCAAACAGGACAAUUUAGUGUUUGUGUGUGUGUGUCUAUGUCUUCUUGGAACACAGUUCUCAGCUUUUCUGCAUGUGUGUUAUGUAUGUGUGUGUGAGUACGUGUCCAGCACAAUUCAGUUCUCCUGUUGAGAUCAGAUCUUGGAUGUGUGUGUGUGUGUGAUCAGUUCAGCUCAGUUCUCUGUUGAGAUACCUGAUUGCCUGAGGGAAGAAACUGUUUAACAGUCUGGUUGUGCGGGUCCGAAUGCUUCGGUACCUCUUUCUGGAUGGCAGAAGGGUGAAGAGUGUGUGUGAGGGGUGUGUGGAAUCAUCCACCAUGCUGUUAGCUCUGCGGAUGCAGCGUGUGGAGUAAAUGUCUGUAAUAGAGGGAAGAGGGACUCCGAUGAUCUUCUCAGCUGUCCUCACUAUCCGCUGAAGGGUCUUGCAAUUUGAGACGGUGCAAUUCCCAAACCAGGCAGUGAUGCUAGUUGUUGCACCUCCUCUCCUUAUGCUGACUCGUCAUUCUUGCUGAUGAGACCCACCACUGUCGUGUCAUCGGCGAACUUGAUGAUGUGGUUGGAGCUGUGCAUUGCUGCAAAGUCGUGAGUCAGCAGAGUGAACAGCAGUGGACUGAGCACACAGCCCUGAGGAGCUCCAGUGUUCAGUGUGGUGGUGCUCGAGAUGCUGUUCCUGAUCUGGACUGACUGAGGUCUCCCAGUCAGGAAAUCCAGGAGCCAAUUGCAGAGGGAGGUGUUGAUGCCCAGCAGACUCAGCUUCUCGAUCAGGCGCUGAGGAGUGAUCAUAUUGAAUGCUGAACUGAAGUCAAUGAACAGCAUUCGUAGGUAAGUGUCUUUAUUGUCCAGGUGUGUGAGGGCCAGAUGGAGGAUUGUGGUGAUGGCAUCGUCUGUGGAGCGGUUUGGACGAUACGCAAACUGCAUGGGGUCGAAUGAAGGUGGCAGCAGGUUCUUAAUGUGUCUCAUGACAAGCCUCUCGAAGCACUUCAUGAUGAUGGGUGUGAGUGCAACGGGACAGUAGUCAUUCAGACAGGACACUGGAGACUCUCGGCACGGAGAUGAUGGUGGUCGACUUUCAGCACGUUGGGAUGAUGGCACUGCUCACGUCUAGAAGGCCCCGUGGUUGCUGUCUGAUGUUUUGUGGAUGAGUGUGAGGAACUAUCUUCUCUCUCCAUAGCUGACACUCGACCCACCCACAGGAGAAUCCUCUUCAGUAUUCAGUUGAACCUUUCAUGUCUAGAAGGCUCCGUGGUCUCUGUCCAAAGAGGAGUGUUACGACUUCAAGAUGGUAGGUCUAAGGGUACCAGAAGUAACAUUUAAGUUGUGACUAAUUUAAGUGAAGGUUGGUAGUAAUUGACAACUUUAUAGCAAAAAUAAAAUAUAGUAUUUAUUGUCCAUGAUGGAAUCGGAAUAGAAGAAAUAUAGAUAGAUAUAUAUAUUUACAUACAACUGAGAGUUAUAUUAUAAUCAACACGGGAAAAGAGAGGAUUAACAGCGGCGCCAAAUAAAAGAAAGAAAUAUAACAAAACCAAACUAAUCCUCUAAUCUGUCUAGAAAAUAAAAGGAAAAGAAAGUCUUCAGCAUUUUCACGCCCUAUCUAAUCUAUUCUCACUAACCAGAAACAAAACAUACAGAGAGUGGCGCUCGCUUCUAUUCUAGUGUAUCUAUACACAGCCUCUAUGUGUAGCACAAUGAAUCUCAGGUAACUAAACUGUCCUCUUUUCCCAGAGGUAGAUCAAAGCAAAGUAGAGAAUAGGCAAGGAGGAGAGAAAAAGCGAGAGACUGAGCGUCCACACAGGCGUCCCUUUUAAAACUGACGCGGAUCUCUGGGAUUGGCAGCGAAGGCGGCAACGUCACGCAGUUUAACGAGGAUAGACGUCUCCCCUGAUGAAUGGGAUUCCAGGGGGUGGGGAACCUACGAGGCAGUGAGAGCGGGAAGAGAUAGAAAGAGAGCAAAAAAAAACACAGGCACAACUUUGGGCCGUAACAUGGAGUUUGAGUAGUGAUUGCCCGGAGGAUGCUUGGGUAGUGUUCCGGAUAGCGAAGAGUACAUAGGGUAAGAGUAGGUCUGAGUUUCUCCCUUCCUUGUCUAACACUCACAGGAGCAUCUUUUUCAGCAUUCAGUUGAACCUUUCAAAUGUAGAAGGCCCCUUGAUCGCUGUCCGAAGAGGAGUUUGACCGGUGAUUUCCUGAAUUAUGCUUUGGUAGUGUUCCGGAUGAUGAAGAGCACAUGCCGUAAGUGCAGGUCUGAGUUCCUCCAGUCCUUGUCUAAUGCCCACAGGAGCAUCCUCUUCAGCGUUCGGUUGAACCUUUCAUGUCUAGAAGGCCCCUUGGUUACUGUCCGAAGAGGAGUUUGAGUUGUGAUUGCCCGGAGGAUGCUUGGGUAGUGGUCCAGAUGGCCAAGUGCACAUAGGGUAAGAGUAGGUCUGAAUUGCUCCCUUCCUCGUCUAACACCCACAGGAGCAUCUUCUUCAGUAUUCGGUUGAACCUUUCAACCAAUCCAUUGAUCUCGGCAUGGUUGACAUCAUGUGGUGUUUAACCUGCAAUGUCCAACACAGAUCAACCCUGGGCUUAGAUGUGAAUGGUUUGCCUUGAUCUGUUAUUUGUUGGCUAGGUAUUGGACAAUGUCUGGUGUUUUGCGGAUGAGUGUGAGUAACUAUCUUCUCUCUCCAUAGCUGACACUGGACCACACCCCAACUGCCACAGUAUUGUAAUGUGUCCCCUUUUCAGUGGGAGAGUGCGGCGGUAUCAAGGAAGUAUAUGGUAUGUAGCUGGUUAAUAAUAUGUAUGUCUUGGUAAAUAUCUGUUGUUCAUUAUUUACAUGUUUUCCUGUCUGCGUAACCUGGAUAUAUUAGCAGGAAAGGUUAUGUUAAUUAGCUGUGUUGGAAGGGAAGAUGUCCACAAACCGAUAUACCAACUCCGUCAAGUACUCAUUCUGGGAUGGAGUGAGAUCAGCCCCUUUCUGCACCAAGAUGGUAGUUCAUGGCUCCCACCCAUUCAGCUGUCAUGUAGGGGCCCUGCCAGCGGUCAAGGAAAUUGCAGGUAGCAUCAGGUAGGAGGAGGUUCAGCCGAUUGCCUGGCUGAAACUCCCAUGCUUGUGUUGGACGGUUGUAGAUUCUUUGUUGGUCUCUUUGAUCUGUGUCCAUGUUUGCAGAUGAUAGGAGUUACUUCAUCCAUCAGCUCUUGCAUCUCCUGAAGAUGAUGCACAACUGAUUGUUCGGGUGAGGGCUGCUCCUCCCAGGCCUCUCGAGCCACGUCUAGAAGGCCCCUUGGUUGCUGUCUGAAAAGGAGUUUGAAUGGUGAUUGCCCAGUGAAUGUUUGAGUAGUCUUCUGGAUGGCCAAGAGCACAUAGGGUAAGAGUAGGUCUGUAGGUUUCACGUCUAGAAGGCACCUUGGUCACUGUCCUAAGAGGAGUUUGAGUGGUGGUUGCCUGGAGGAUGUUUAGGUAGUGUUCCGGAUGGCCAAGAGCACAUAGGGUAAGAGUACUUCUGAGUUCCUCCCUUCCUCAUCUAACACCCACAGGAUAAUCCUCUUCAGUGUUCGGUUGAACCUUUCAUGUCUAGAAGGCCCCUUGGUCGCUGUAUGAAGAGGUGUUUGAAUGGUGAUUCCCCAGUGAAAGCUUGAGUAGUCUCCCCGAUAGCAAAGAGCACAUAGGGUAAAAGUAGGUCUAAGUUCCUCCCUUCCUCAUCUAAUACCCAAAGGAGCAUCCUCUUCAGUGUUCAGUUGAACCCUUCACAUCUAGAAGGCACCUUGGUCACUGUCCUAAGAGGAAUUUGAGUGGUGAUUGCCUGAUGGAUGCUUGGGUAGUCUCCCGAAUGGCGAAGAGCACAUAGGGUAAGAGUAGGUGUAAUUUCCUCCCUUCCUCGUCUAACACCCACAGGAGAAUCCUCUUCAGUAUUCAGUUGAACCUUUCACGUCUAGAAGGCCCUGUUGUCGCUGUCUGAAGAGGAGUCUGAAUAGUGAUUGCUCAGUGAAAGCUUGAGUAGUCCCCCCUGAUCGCGAUGAGCACAUAGGGUAAGAGUAGGUCUGAGUUUCUCCCUUCCUCGUCUAACACCCACAGGAGCAUCCUCUUCAGUGUUUGGUUGAACCUUUCAAGAAAUCCAUUGGUCUUGGUUUGAUAAUCUGACAUCAUCAGGUGUUCAACCUCCAAUAUCCGACAUAGAACAACUGUGAAUGGUUUGCCUUGAUUGGUCAGUUGUGAUAUUCCCGGUUCUGCUUUAGAGGAUCAUUUGCUCCAUGGCAAUACUGUGGAAGGUGACCUCCCCUGGUUAUCGGAUGGCAUAGACCACGAUUAUGAGGAUGAUUUAUGGGUGAGGGUGAUGAUACAUCUGAUAUUUUCAUUUGUUUCCCUGCAAACCAAAGGAGUAAAUGUCUGGUGUUUAUUAUUUACAUGUCUUUGUUUUCCACAGCUGGAAUCAAAGAAAAAUAUGCUAUUUAAUUAGUGUGUGACAGAUAUGUCUGGGUAGAUAUCUGAGACAUUUGAUAAGUAUUUGUUAUUUAUUGCAGUUCAGAGAGGUAGCCAAGCCUUGAACUGGUACUUAAAAGGAGGAGAGAAUGAGAGGAGAAGCGGUUCCACUGGAUCACAGAUGUUGCAGGACCGAGUACCUGCAAAGGUUGGCCAGUUGUGAUCUUUUUCUGGUUGACCCAUUGACCACUUGGAAAGACAAGUUGGUGACCGAGGAAGAAUGGUGACAGCUUGCAAAGAUGGCUGACAUUUGGGAAAGACCAAAGUUGGAUUCAGGAGGUUUGGCAAGCUGAAGCACAACCUCCGCGAGGAGUAAUCCACUGCUAAUCGCUAUGGAAAGGUACAUUACAAGAUACUCCCAGCAUCUAGUAAGAGCGGGGGAGGAUCAUCGGCCUACAGACAGACUGUUGUUCUGACCUCUCAUGAUGGACAAUUGACCUUGGAACAGCUAAUGCCGAGUUCACACUGCACAAUUUUCAAAGUUGUUGCAUCACCGUUGCUUUCAUACUACAUGACUAUCAGGGGUAGUUGCUGAUGUGUUCACAUUGCACGAUGGAUUGAUGACUUCACAAUGGGAAGAAUCGGCGUCAACUCUGUCUGGUUCACAACCUACUUUUCACAACCAAAUGCAUGCGAGAAAUGAUAAGGAAAUAACGCAAGAUCACAAGAGCUCUUACAUGAGACUGGAAAUGGUAUCCUACAAGAAGAUUGCUGUCCAAAUGGUCUGUGCGCUGAUUUGCAGUGAAUGGGCAAAAAAGAAAAGAUUAUGGUGGAGGAAUUGAUUGGGGAGACGCAGGGAACAAGGAUUGCGUGUUUUGCAAAUGAAUCAUUUUGUAGUGUGCUGCUGCUGGUCAAGCAAGUAUUUCUGCUUUAUUUCUGUCUGCUGUAAUUGUAAAGCUUAUUUAUUCUGAUACUAUAUUUAAGACAUUUUUCUGGUAAAAAUCUAUAAACUCUAUUAAACUAUAAUAUUGUGCUCCAAUCGAAGCCAUGCUUGCUGAUGUUGUGGUCUAUAACGUCUCCCCGAACUUCCCGCUGGCCUGUAUAUUGCUCUCUCAUUGGCUGUAGGUCAUCACCAAUGUAUUUUUCAGUCAAAACUUAUUUCACUAUAAGAACUAUAUGUUAAAAAUGAGAGGGUGUCUGAAGAUACAUCAGUCAAAGAUAAAGUGCUUGAAACCUGAACGUAAUGUAAACACACAGGGACACCUGGGGAGAUGGAGGAGAGGCUGGGGCAGGAGGCAAACAACAGCCCCCAGACUCUCCAGGCACAUGAUGAAAAAGGGAGCAGGAUUAGCAUCAUCGAUGUUUCAGAAGACGCAAAGCACCAGAUAGAGGUGGAGAGUACACAGGAUAUUAGACAGCCUGGACAGGAUAUAUAUGUAGUAGAAGUCUGAAAGGAACCAGAGAACUGGCCUGCUGCAGUGGCGAGGAAGGAGUGGGAGAGGUUUGAUCAUGAUGUGGACGAGGUGCUGGGAACAGCCUUGGCAGGAGAUGUGGGGACGAAGCUGAAGGAUAUGGCUUCCAUUAUUUGGAGCAUAGGUGCUGAUUGCUUUGUAAAAAAAGAGCCAAAUGUUAAAACAUAUGUCUAGCUAAAGGAAAACAAACAUAUGAAGGAGAUAGCAAUCUUUAAAAGGGAUCUGUGGAGGCUGAGGAAGGCAUUUUGUGAUGCAACAGUGGAUGAGAGACUAGCACUCACUGAAAUUCGUGACAACCUGAGGGUAUGCGUUAAGACCUUCUGAACAGCUGAAUGUCACUGCAGGGAUAGGAAGCGAUGAAUGAAGGAGCAGACAGAUUUCACCAAGAAUCCUUUCAAAUAUCUGUCAAAACUUUUGGGCGAUGUAAGAUCAGGGCAGCUGAAAGCAACAAAGGAGGAGGUGGAGGAGCACAUUUGCUAGGUCCAUAGCGACCCUAUAAGUGAGGACCAUGUUGCAAAAGGCUCAGCAGACGACUUUGGAAGCUACUGAAAGUGGCAUGGAAGAAGGACUUCCUCACUGAUUGUUAGCUAGUCGUUGUAUGAUGUUUCAUCCCUAAGGAAGAAAAUUCUACAGUGAUUAAGCAAUUCCGUACCAUCUCACUUCUCACGUCUGCCUGAAAAGGGGGAUUUCCAGGGAUAGUGGGCUGUCUUGAGCACACCAGCAUAAUCAGUAAGAUUAUCGCAGAUACGAAGAGGAACCAUGGUGACCUGGCAGACCUGUGGCUGGAUUUAAUGUAUAUGGGAUGAUACCUUGUAAUUUUCCAGCCAUUUCCAGAAGCUCUUGCAGUGCUACGAUGACAACAUGCGAUUCACCUGUGGAGACUUCGCCACCGAAUGGCAGAGGCUAGAGGUGGGCAUUUUCAAUGGCUACACGAUUUCAGUAAUCUUGUUUUUGAACAAUGAACCUUCUCGUUAAGUCAGCAGAGAAGUUGCGGCAGGGUGCAGUGACUCACCAUCAUGGCAAAAUUAGUACCUGAAUGGAGAUGAAUCUUGGAAGAUCUGUUUGAGCUAACUGAAUUGGGCAAGGAUGGAGUUUAAACCUGAAAUGUCCAGAAGCCUGGUAUUGAGGAAGGGGCACAUUUAUGACCGGUUCUGCUUCAGGAUCAAAGAUACCAUCAUCCCACCAGUCCAAGAGAGACCAGUGAAGAGCUUAGGGAAGUGGUAUAGGGCAGACAUCAAUGUUAAGCAGAGUGUGAGGGAGAUGUUUAUCCAAGUAGACACCUGGAUGACAUCCUACCCAUCAAAUAUUAGGCCUGUGUUUACCAACAUGGUUUUCUAGAUCAUAGACUGCUCUGGCCUCUGCUUGUUUAUGAGGUACCUGUCUCUACUGCCGAGGAAUUGGAGAGGAAGAUUAACACCUAUUUAAGGAGGUGGCUGGUUGUCCCAAGAUGCUCGGGCAGCACAGGCAGCAAGUUGCAGCUGUCAGUGACAUCAGUGUUUGAGGAGUAUAAAGCAUCAAAGGCAUGCCAGGCUAUGAUGCUGCAAGAUAGCAAGGAUGAAACAGAGGACUAAUGGAGGCUGAGGAUUGACUGCAGCAUGCUGACAUCGUUUGGACAGUAGGUACACCACAGUAUGGUACAGAGGGAGGUCCGCAAAGGCGGAGGAGAAAACUCAGCACGCCAAGGCAGUUGCCAUGAAAAAACAGGGCAGCUGGACAAGGUGGAAGGGUGUACGAGAAAGUGUCCUGACAUGGCAGGACAUUUGGACCAUGGAAUGAUGAUGGAAAAGUUCUUGAUGUGUUCUGUCUGCAAUGUUCUGCCUACUCCAUCAGACCUCUAUAUUUCAGGGAUGGCAGAGAGCCCCAGCUGCACUAUGUGUAAAGCAAGCCAACUUUGAGCAUGACCUCUCAGCAUGCCAGUAAGUGUCUUAUUGUGCAUGUAAUGAAUAGGUAUGAAUAAAUAUCUGGUGUUUAUCUGCAUGUGUUUCUAUUCCACAGGUGCUAUCAAAGAAAAAUAUGCUAGUUGUAGUUGAUGUUUGAUAUGCAUGUGUGGUUAAAUAUAUGAGACAUGUUGACAAGUAUCUGUUGUUCAUUGGCUUAGUGUUGAUCAGUGUCUGGUGUAUUGUGGAUGAGUGUGGUAAAUGUCUGGUUCGUAAUAUAUUUGUUUCUCUGCAAAUCAUUUCUCUUGUGGCUAAUAUCUGUAUGUGUUUACCAUAUUUAACCAUAUUUAGUUAUUUACUUGUUUAUUUAUUUAAUAUAUUGGUAUAUAUUAUCUUCAUGCAUUUGUUUGUUCUCCACAGGCAAUAAAAUAAAUGGUAUGUAUGUAAAUGGUAUGUAUGUCUGAGUAAAUAUCUGGUGUUUACUAUUUUCUUUUUUUCUAUCUGUGUAAACUGCAGACAUUAGCUGCGAACAUUAUGAUAAGUCUCUGGUGUUUAUUGGUCCAGGAUGGUUAAAUAUCUUUUGGUUAAUAUCCGUAAGUGAUUUUAAAUGCAUCUCAGGUAGUAGCGGGGAGGCAUACAAGUGUCCGCUGGUAUUGCACCUUGUGUUUUGUGGGUGAGGGUAAGUGAAUAUUUGCUGUUCAGUAUCUACAUGUUUUUCUGAGAAAACAUCGGUUAGAUUCAGAAAUUUGCAUGACACUGCUUCCAAUGUCACAACUAUCUCCUUUUGAGAUUAUAGACUUAUGCUUUUCUCCCAGGUGAUGCUGUAUUGGUAAAACUUCUUAACCCCAGGAAAGUGUGGAAAGGAGACUUUGCCCCUCCCACUUGAUUAUAGCUGUCACAUGCACCACCAUUCUGAACGACUCACAACCUCAGUGGAUCCACACAGGCAGGUUGAAAUGGUGCCCUGUUGUAGUGACAUCUAAGAAAGGAGAAAAUCAGCAAUCAAGCAGCCCUAAGGGGGCCUCAUCUCAUCUCACUUUUUCACAUAUACAUAUACAAAAAUGAUAAUGAUUUUGAUAAUCUGACAGGCACUAAAACUGCUAACAUUCCUAGACACUAGUUUCGUGGACUCUUUGGUCAUUCAUUUUGUGGUUCUCAGAUUUAAUCAGCCAUUGCGUAGAGAGUAAGUAAUUUGGAAAACAUGAUUGUUAUGCUCUUAGUAGAGGCCUUAUGCUCUUGUUUAUUUAGUCUUAUGCCUCAACAGCAGUGUGGUGGAAGUUUGGCCUGUGUCUUUGCUUUAGAAAUCACUUGCAAUUUGUCUGACACUUAUCAUAUCGGAUUUUUGCAUUCCGUUUUACCAGUUUUUGUAAUAAAAAUUUUGACCUUUUUGUCAUCACUGUGUAUCUUCAAGUGUAUCUCCGCUUGUGUUAGGUGAUCCGUUGGCGCAUUAGUUAACAACACUUACGAAGCAGUUUCACUUGACGUGAUAAAUGAGGUCUUGCUUCUUGGUGGACAUGCCUCUGAUCUCUAGUAUGCGCAGCCUUAAAAAGCUGCUGUUUUUUGUGGUUGGGGCUGUGGGAUGACCCAGUAAGCAGUGUGACUGUCUUUGAUGCACCUUAAGAGUGCUCACAGGUCCUGUUUGGACUGAACUGGGCAUUAUAGGGAUGAGCUGUGCUGACAUUGUGAUGUUUUGGUUUAUAGCCUAGAAAUUCUUUCUGUUCUUUUCUGAUAAACAUGGGCCGAGCACAGACACCAUGUAACAGUCACUGCUCACUUUCUCUUUCAUUCUCCUGAACCCUUCAGUGGACACAUCAGCCACCACAUCUCUUAUCUGCUGACGCCUUUUUCUCUACAGAUGUUGCCUAUAGAUAACAUUUAAAGAUUUUACCUUGUUUUGUAUAAAUACUCUGUCUGUCACAGUAAAUUUGC
Long non-coding RNA from Hemibagrus wyckioides, 30533 nucleotides. RefSeq lists it as uncharacterized. NCBI's taxonomy places the organism in Eukaryota, Metazoa, Chordata, Actinopteri, Siluriformes, Bagridae. The record is from RefSeq and is a predicted model, not a curated record. The transcript has 3 exons.